RNAcentral lists this long non-coding RNA (297 nucleotides) under Homo sapiens (human). RNAcentral's name for it is "HSALNT0321001". Lineage: Eukaryota; Metazoa; Chordata; Mammalia; Primates; Hominidae. The record is from RNAcentral.
ACAUAAUGGAAUGGUGGGAAGACUCCGGAUCAGGAAACAUGAAUUUAAGUCUCCAUUUAUCUAAGUUAUUUGCUCAGAAAUCCCUCAAUGUGCAAGCUGGACUAAAGUGGGAAGAAAAAUCAUGGAGUAUCCAUUUAGGAGUAUAUUCCAACAAUCAAGAUGAGAAGCAGCGAGAGCCUGGAUAACUUGUGGAUACAUAAGGCUGACUUAACAGAAGAGAGGAACGGACUGAGGCAAAUGAGGGUCAUGCUGGAAGCCAUGAUCUUGCAGUGUCUCUUAGCCUGGAGUACAGUGGUG